AAGGAGCCGGUAUCAAGUACAGCUCGGGAGAGAGGAACCAGCUUGUGAGGAAAAUCUCUCGUGUGGCGCCCUCGAUGGCCUUAGCGAUCGCCUCGUAGUAGUCCUUGCAGUCGAUGUGCACCAUCGCACGUACGCCUGUCCGAGGAGGGAAAACAAGAGAGGGUAUCUAACCAUGAUUCAAAGGAGAUAUAUGUCAGUUAUUUAUAUUUAUGGUUAUGGGUUGGUGCUUACCUUUGCCCCCCUCCCUCGUUAUUGUUUUUCUUUUUUUUUUUUCUUUUUUUUUCUUUUUUUUUUUUUUGUCAUAAAAUAAAAAAUCUUGAUUACAAUGGAAUUAAAGAUACUUCCGACGAAGCUUCUGUCGGAACAGGUAUAACAAUGGGUGGUGGCACUUCACAUCCCUCUA
RNAcentral lists this ribosomal RNA (403 nucleotides) under Fuligo gyrosa. Its description in RNAcentral is "Physarum gyrosum partial 12S ribosomal RNA". Lineage: Eukaryota; Evosea; Eumycetozoa; Physariida; Physaraceae. The record is from RNAcentral.